RNAcentral lists this ribosomal RNA (253 nucleotides) under uncultured bacterium. RNAcentral's name for it is "partial 16S ribosomal RNA". It matches the Rfam family "Bacterial small subunit ribosomal RNA", at positions 524 to 776 of the family's 1533-position model. The record is from RNAcentral.
UACGUAGGGUCCGAGCGUUGUCCGGAAUUAUUGGGCAUAAAGGGCUCGUAGGCGGUUCGUCACGUCGGGAGUGAAAACUCGGAGCUUAACUCCGAGCCUGCUUCCGAUACGGGCAGACUAGAGGUAGGCAGGGGAGAGCGGAACUCCUGGUGUAGCGGUGGAAUGCGCAGAUAUCAGGAAGAACACCGGUGGCGAAGGCGGCUCUCUGGGCCUUACCUGACGCUGAGGAGCGAAAGCGUGGGUAGCGAACAGG